RNAcentral lists this ribosomal RNA (253 nucleotides) under uncultured bacterium. RNAcentral's name for it is "partial 16S ribosomal RNA". It matches the Rfam family "Bacterial small subunit ribosomal RNA", at positions 524 to 776 of the family's 1533-position model. The record is from RNAcentral.
UACGCAGGGACCAAGCGUUGUUCGGAUUUACUGGGCGUAAAGGGAGCGUAGGCGGCAAUUCAAGUCAGUUGUGAAAUCUCCGAGCUUAACUCGGAACGGUCAACUGAUACUGCUUUGCUAGAGUACAGAAGGGGCAAUCGGAAUUCUUGGUGUAGCGGUGAAAUGCGUAGAUAUCAAGAGGAACACCUGAGGUGAAGACGGGUUGCUGGGCUGAUACUGACGCUGAGGCUCGAAAGCUAGGGGAGCAAACGGG